UCAAAGAGUUUUUCCAGAAUGAAUCGGCGCCACUAAGCGUCACUCAAAAACAGAAAAACAAUUAGCCAUUACAGCAAAUUAGCAAGCGAUUCUCCACACAGCUACGCCUGUUUUUUAAAAAAACGGCACGACAUUUUUAAAACCAUAUUAGGGUAUACUGCGAUUUAAUGCUAGCCAAUCAGAUUUUGAGGACAUUUUUUUUGAACGCAUGAAGCAAAUUCCUUUGGCUCCAGAUGACAAACCAGGACCUGGCUGACAAUGAACAAAGCCCUGCAUCCUCCCCUGAAUGAAACUAAUAAUAGUAGUUUAAAAAAGAAAAAAGAAAAAGAUGAUUCAACAACCACGUGGUCUCCAAGAUGUGACUCGGAUGUGAAAAGUGCGCGCUGAGGACGGGGCCCGGCCGCGAGCAGAAGCCGACAAAAACAUUACCUCACUGGCCGUCCCUCGCCCUGCCGCGACCCUCGGCAGAGACAGGCCGGGGGUUUAAGUGCACGGAGCAAGGGCGCAGAUGGCGGCGGACAAAUGUGAGCCGUCGCGCUGGCCGCGCAGAAGAAUGGGGGAUCUGUAACCGGCGGGUACCAAACGGUGGUAAUAAAUCCUGCGCCGUGCCACAAAAAGGGGUUUGGAGCGUCAGGCUCCAAAAGACAGUUGGCCUUUCUGUGACAGCUGGACGGUGAGCGGGAGGAGGACAAAAACCCCUCAACUAAACGCUCUCCUCACCUGCCUAAGUGGAGAGAAACCCAAAAGCCUGCCAAUACUAAAAAAAAAAAAAAAAAAAAAAA
Molecule: long non-coding RNA, 782 nt
Organism: Fundulus heteroclitus (mummichog)
Lineage: Eukaryota; Metazoa; Chordata; Actinopteri; Cyprinodontiformes; Fundulidae
Exons: 2
Source: RefSeq, a predicted model, not a curated record